GUGGUCUCAGCUGGUUGGGGUGGUGAUGCUGUGGUCUGGGUGUAGGUCCUCUUGGCGUGGGUUCUCUCAGUGCAGAUCCUUCAGGUCUGGGAGGUUGUCUAGUUGGUCUGUGCGGGGUGUCCGUUGCUCUGUUGCUAUGGUUGAAGGUGACGUCCUUCAGGGUCCUGGCAAAAGUUUGGAUUGCUGCCUUGGAGUCGUGGGCCAGAUAUACAUUAGGUUGUGAGGCACAGUCCCGGGAAAUGUUUGCAUUCAACCACUGUAUGGUGGCAGGGUGGAAGUAUUUUUGUGGUAGCAGGGUGGAUAAACCACUUGUGCGUUGGGGAAAGUAGAAGAAGCUUUUUCAAUCACUCCAUUGAGUGCUAUGGCCCUCCUUUCCUGCUGGGCCCUCAGGUCGUUUGUGCCCGUGUGUAUGAUGCGGCUGGGGGACCCUAGUCUGUCCUUCCCCCCCCUCUCUCUGAUGUUGCUAUACCAUUCUGGUCUAUUUGGACAUGAUCUCUAUUGAAGUCAAUGUGUCAGUCAGUGUGACUUCUUCGAUGGGUGGUCGAGGAGAGGGUCAAUUUGUUAGUAGGACAGAAGAUUGUCCACCCCUCCUCGAUCGCCUCUUUCCGCUGAGGAAGCACGAGAGUAUCCUACCUGAGUACUUUACAAAAUAAUUCAUUUUUGCCCCGUUUGAAAUCAGCUGUUGUAUUGUCAAAGGAGAAAAACAGGCACCUGUUUAAAAACAAUAUGCUACUUAUCAUUUUAUAUAGAAAAUGUCUAGCACCACUGGCUAAAUAUCUUUUUAAUACUUUUUUUGUGCUGUGACUGGCGCCCUCUAGCUGUGAAAUGAAGCAACAGCAGAGGGCCUAAUUUGCUGUAAGCCUAAUAACCAGGAUCUUGAUUGGACCUGCUCGUUUACUUAUAUCGUGUCUCCUGGAUAUUUAAAUGGAUUGUAAAGGAGCUUACUGCGCUCUCUCUCUCUCUGUCUCUCUCUCUAAUCUGGUGGGAUUAACGUGCGGUUGAGUAUCGGGCAUGUUCAAGGGAGAGAAGAAAGACACUGGUGACGGAAGAAAGACAGAUCAUUGAAGGAGAGAGAGAGAGAGAGACGGUGUUGAGUCGAACGUCCAGAAAACAGGAGAAUAAGACGAGCUGAGGAUCUACCUGAACAAGGUGCUCCAUAUUGAAAAGGCACCUGUCAUCUUUGACCAUGUCUAAGGACCAGUGUGAAUCCAUAGCAGUGAGCGUCGAGUCCCUUUUAACCGACGCAGUUAAGAUGCAGUCCCAGUGUCGGGAGCGUAGUGAGCAGCUAGCCGUGGCCGCCGCCGCACUGAGGGAGGAGUCGGCGUGCUUGAGAGAACAGUGUCAAGCCACCCAGCUGGAUAUGGCCCGGAUGAGGAGACAGUUAGAAGAACUGCUGGAUACCAAAGCUCAGAUGGAGGCCAGUGACAGAAUGCACCGGAAACUCAGCAAGACACUCUGAAUGGAAGACAGGAGAGAGAGGAAAAGGGGGGGGAAC
This is a long non-coding RNA of Salvelinus fontinalis (brook trout), 1495 nucleotides long. RefSeq lists it as uncharacterized. The record is from RefSeq and is a predicted model, not a curated record. The transcript is spliced from 3 exons. Lineage: Eukaryota; Metazoa; Chordata; Actinopteri; Salmoniformes; Salmonidae.